CGUAGGGUGCAAGCGUUAAUCGGAAUUACUGGGCGUAAAGCGUGCGCAGGCGGUUAUAUAAGACAGAUGUGAAAUCCCCGGGCUCAACCUGGGAACUGCAUUUGUGACUGUAUAGCUAGAGUACGGUAGAGGGGGAUGGAAUUCCGCGUGUAGCAGUGAAAUGCGUAGAUAUGCGGAGGAACACCGAUGGCGAAGGCAAUCCCCUGGACCUGUACUGACGCUCAUGCACGAAAGCGUGGGGAGCAAACAGGAUUAGAUACCCUGGUAGUCCACGCCCUAAACGAUGUCAACUGGUUGUUGGGUCUUCACUGACUCAGUAACGAAGCUAACGCGUGAAGUUGACCGCCUGGGGAGUACGGCCGCAAGGUUG
This 370-nucleotide ribosomal RNA is filed under the name uncultured organism. Its description in RNAcentral is "bacterial SSU rRNA". It matches the Rfam family "Bacterial small subunit ribosomal RNA", at positions 526 to 896 of the family's 1533-position model. The record is from RNAcentral.